CAAGCUGUGGGAGGUCUGUUUUACCUGUGUGAGUGAGUACUUUUUGUAUAUUGGGUCAGGGACUUAUAUUCUGUAGCAAGGUUAACCGAAUAGGGGAGCCGGAGGGAAACCGAGUCUUAAUUGGGCGUUAAGUUGCAGGGUAUAGACCCGAAACCCGGUGAUCUAGCCAUGGGCAGGUUGAAGGUUGGGUAACACUAACUGGAGGACCGAACCGACUAAUGUUGAAAAAUUAGCGGAUGACCUGUGGCUGGGGGUGAAAGGCCAAUCAAACCGGGAGAUAGCUGGUUCUCCCCGAAAGCUAUUUAGGUAGCGCCUCGUGAAUUCAUCUCCGGGGGUAGAGCACUGUUUCGGCUAGGGGGCCAUCCCGGCUUACCAACCCGAUGCAAACUGCGAAUACCGGAGAAUGUUAUCACGGGAGACACACGGCGGGUGCUAACGUCCGUCGUGAAGAGGGAAACAACCCAGACCGCCAGCUAAGGUCCCAAAGUCAUGGUUAAGUGGGAAACGAUGUGGGAAGGCCCAGACAGCCAGGAUGUUGGCUUAGAAGCAGCCAUCAUUUAAAGAAAGCGUAAUAGCUCACUGGUCGAGUCGGCCUGCGCGGAAGAUGUAACGGGGCUAAACCAUGCACCGAAGCUGCGGCAGCGACACUGUGUGUUGUUGGGUAGGGGAGCGUUCUGUAAGCCUGUGAAGGUGUGUCGUGAGGCAUGCUGGAGGUAUCAGAAGUGCGAAUGCUGACAUAAGUAACGAUAAAGCGGGUGAAAAGCCCGCUCGCCGGAAGACCAAGGGUUCCUGUCCAACGUUAAUCGGGGCAGGGUGAGUCGACCCCUAAGGCGAGGCCGAAAGGCGUAGUCGAUGGGAAACGGGUUAAUAUUCCCGUACUUGGUGUUACUGCGAAGGGGGGACGGAGAAGGCUAUGUUGGCCGGGCGACGGUUGUCCCGGUUUAAGCGUGUAGGUGUGUGUUCCAGGUAAAUCCGGUUCACUUUAACACUGAGGCGUGACGACGAGGCACUACGGUGCUGAAGCAACAAAUGCCCUGCUUCCAGGAAAAGCCUCUAAGCAUCAGGUAACAUCAAAUCGUACCCCAAACCGACACAGGUGGUCAGGUAGAGAAUACCAAGGCGCUUGAGAGAACUCGGGUGAAGGAACUAGGCAAAAUGGUGCCGUAACUUCGGGAGAAGGCACGCUGACACGUAGGUGAAGUGAUUUACUCAUGGAGCUGAAGUCAGUCGAAGAUACCAGCUGGCUGCAACUGUUUAUUAAAAACACAGCACUGUGCAAACACGAAAGUGGACGUAUACGGUGUGACGCCUGCCCGGUGCCGGAAGGUUAAUUGAUGGGGUCAGCGCAAGCGAAGCUCCUGAUCGAAGCCCCGGUAAACGGCGGCCGUAACUAUAACGGUCCUAAGGUAGCGAAAUUCCUUGUCGGGUAAGUUCCGACCUGCACGAAUGGCGUAAUGAUGGCCAGGCUGUCUCCACCCGAGACUCAGUGAAAUUGAACUCGCUGUGAAGAUGCAGUGUACCCGCGGCAAGACGGAAAGACCCCGUGAACCUUUACUAUAGCUUGACACUGAACAUUGAGCCUUGAUGUGUAGGAUAGGUGGGAGGCUUUGAAGUGUGGACGCCAGUCUGCAUGGAGCCGACCUUGAAAUACCACCCUUUAAUGUUUGAUGUUCUAACGUGGACCCGUUACCCGGGUUGCGGACAGUGUCUGGUGGGUAGUUUGACUGGGGCGGUCUCCUCCUAAAGAGUAACGGAGGAGCACGAAGGUUGGCUAAUCCUGGUCGGACAUCAGGAGGUUAGUGCAAUGGCAUAAGCCAGCUUGACUGCGAGCGUGACGGCGCGAGCAGGUGCGAAAGCAGGUCAUAGUGAUCCGGUGGUUCUGAAUGGAAGGGCCAUCGCUCAACGGAUAAAAGGUACUCCGGGGAUAACAGGCUGAUACCGCCCAAGAGUUCAUAUCGACGGCGGUGUUUGGCACCUCGAUGUCGGCUCAUCACAUCCUGGGGCUGAAGUAGGUCCCAAGGGUAUGGCUGUUCGCCAUUUAAAGUGGUACGCGAGCUGGGUUUAGAACGUCGUGAGACAGUUCGGUCCCUAUCUGCCGUGGGCGCUGGAGAACUGAGGGGGGCUGCUCCUAGUACGAGAGGACCGGAGUGGACGCAUCACUGGUGUUCGGGUUGUCAUGCCAAUGGCACUGCCCGGUAGCUAAAUGCGGAAGAGAUAAGUGCUGAAAGCAUCUAAGCACGAAACUUGCCCCGAGAUGAGUUCU
Molecule: ribosomal RNA, 2263 nt
Filed under: Salmonella enterica subsp. enterica serovar Enteritidis
Lineage: Bacteria; Pseudomonadati; Pseudomonadota; Gammaproteobacteria; Enterobacterales; Enterobacteriaceae
Description: bacterial LSU rRNA
Rfam family: Bacterial large subunit ribosomal RNA
Source: RNAcentral